RNAcentral lists this ribosomal RNA (788 nucleotides) under uncultured Glomeromycotina. Its description in RNAcentral is "eukaryotic LSU rRNA". It matches the Rfam family "Eukaryotic large subunit ribosomal RNA", at positions 1 to 637 of the family's 3401-position model. The record is from RNAcentral. Lineage: Eukaryota; Fungi; Glomeromycota.
AAAUGACCUCAAAUCAGGUAAGAAUACCCGCUGAACUUAAGCAUAUCAAUAAGCGGAGGAAAAGAAAAUAACAAUGAUUCCCUUAGUAACGGCGAGUGAAGGGGGAAAAGCUCAAAUUUUAAAUCUGCUAGGUUUUACCUAUCAGAAUUGUAAUUUGAAGAAGCGUUUUCCGCGUCUCGGUUGGCCCAAAUCCUUUGGGAUAAGGUAUCAUGGAGGGUGAGAAUCCCGUUCGGUUGACCUUAUGACGCACUACGAUACGCUUUCUAAGAGUCGAGUUGUUUGGGAUUGCAGCUCAAAAUGGGAGGUAAAUUUCUCCUAAGGCUAAAUAUCGGCGAGAGACCGAUAGCGAACAAGUACCGUGAGGGAAAGAUGAAAAGAACUUUGAAAAGAGAGUAAAAUAGUACGUGAAAUUGUUGAAAGGGAAACGAUUGAAGUCAGUCGUACCGACGAGAAAUCAGCUUAUCGUGUGUUAACUUGUGGGCGUGCGUGAGUUUCGGCCUCGCUGUUUGCAUGUUUGUGCGCUUUGGGUGUACUUUUUCGUAUGGUAGGCCAACAUCAGUUUCGAUCACUAUAAAAUGACUGGCGGAAUGUAGCUUCGAUUUCGGUUGAAGUGUUAUAGCCUCUGGUAGAUGUGGUAAUUGGGACUGAGGAUUGCAACGAAUAUCCUUUGGGCUAUCCGUCUGGCCUCUGAAAGUUGCUUGGGUGCUGAAAGCUUGCUUAUGGUUAUCUAAGUUAACGGUCAAUAGGUUAGAACGUGAUUACAUUCGUUAAGGAUGUUGGCGUAAUGG